This 774-nucleotide ribosomal RNA is filed under the name uncultured Neocallimastigales. RNAcentral's name for it is "partial large subunit ribosomal RNA". It matches the Rfam family "Eukaryotic large subunit ribosomal RNA", at positions 26 to 616 of the family's 3401-position model. The record is from RNAcentral. Lineage: Eukaryota; Fungi; Neocallimastigomycota; Neocallimastigomycetes; Neocallimastigales.
CGCAUCUGUGCAUGCAGCAUAUCAAUAAGCGGAGGAAAAGAAACUAACAAGGAUUCCCCUAGUAACGGCGAGUGAAGCGGGAAGAGCUCAAAUUUGAAAUCUUAAAGGGUUUCCCUUUACGAAUUGUAGUUUAAAGAAGUGUUUUCUGUUGAGGUUUUGGUAAAAGUUCUUUGGAAUAGGACAUCAUAGAGGGUGAGAAUCCCGUAUUUGACCUUUACUUUCAACUUUGUGAUACACUUUCAAAGAGUCGGAUUGUUUGGGAAUGCAGUCCAAAAUGGGUGGUAAAUUUCAUCUAAAGCUAAAUAUUGGCGAGAGACCGAUAGCGAACAAGUACCGUGAGGGAAAGAUGAAAAGAACUUUGAAAAGAGAGUUAAACAGUACGUGAAAUUGUCAAAAGGGAAGCGUUUGACACCAGUGUUGUUUUUCUGAAAAUCAAUUAAAGAACUGUUUAUGCUAAGCUGUUUAGACUUUAUCAGCUAACUGUUUAGUUUUGAGCUUUUCUUUAAUGCACUCUUCAGUUAACAAGUCAACAUCAAUUUCUUUUGCUGUAAAAAAGCUUGAGGAAGGUGGCUUGAGAUUCGUCUUAAGUGUUUAUAGCCUCUUGCCUAUGCAGUCGGAGAGAUUGAGGUCUGCAGCGUAGAUCCUUCGGGGCUAAAUGCAUUUGUGCUAAGUUAUAACAUUUUAUAGACAACUUGUUGACUAUGAUUUGUCUUGUAGCUUACUCGCUUAUGUUAUUUUACCUACGCUUAGGAUGUUGAGCGCAUGUCUCUCUCU